Molecule: long non-coding RNA, 911 nt
Filed under: Struthio camelus australis
Lineage: Eukaryota; Metazoa; Chordata; Aves; Struthioniformes; Struthionidae
Description: lncRNA (ENSSCUG00000015554.1)
Source: RNAcentral
CACAUUUUCCCAGGAGGCGUUGUGUUGCAAAGUUUAGCAUCAAGAAGGAAAAUAUCCUCAGAGGAGGUUGACAAACAGGUGGGAAAAUACAAAGAUGCCAAGAGAUCAGAGAUCCAGGCCCAGUGGAUCUCUGGGGAAGUGAUCGGUAGGGUCUCUGCAGGAACUUCCCCACUGCUGCACCUACCUCAGAAGAUCCCCUGGAUAAAGGGAGGUGCGAUAGCUUAUCCCUGGCUGUUACAACAACUGUUUGCUAGAACUGUACAGAGUGAGUCUGGAACAAAGAAGCUCAACAGACAUCUUCAUAAAAUUAUAAAGAUGAAAAGCCUGGAAAGGACCUCCAGAGAUCAUCUUGUCCCACAGCUUCCCACUGAGCCGGGAUGAAGUACCACCACCCCCUCCUUGUAAGGUGUUGGCCUAACCUGUUCCCAGAACCACCACUGAAGGGGAUAAACACGGACAGAAAGCCUAACCUUUAUAGUUCUUCCCAAAGUGCAGCUUAAAUGUUCUUUGCUGCAAAUUAGGUUGAUUUAUUUUUCUCCUUCUCAGUGGCUGUGGAGAACAAAUGAUGACUGUCCUCUUUAAAACAGUUGUUUACAUAUUGAAAAACUUAUACUUUUCCCCCAUAGUCUUUUUUCUCUAGACUAAACAAACUCAGUUUCUUCAACAUUUCCUCAUCACUCAUGCUUUAUAAACCUUUUUUUCAUUCCUGUUGCUUUCUUCUGGACUGUCUCCAAUUUGUCUAUAUCCUCAAUUCUGUUGGGCCAUGCUUGGCUACAGCUGACAAUCUGUCCCUAAGAAAAGUAUCACACUUUUGACUGAGACUUUAGAGAUCUGUUUCCAGAUUCAGCAUUUUUCUGUGGUAGACAUAAGCAUUUUAGCUUCUAUUAAUAUCAAUAAAUAUAUAAAAUAAA